AUUACGUUUCAGAUUCGAUCAAA
This 23-nucleotide small nuclear RNA is filed under the name Arabidopsis thaliana (thale cress). Its description in RNAcentral is "snRNA_10345". Lineage: Eukaryota; Viridiplantae; Streptophyta; Magnoliopsida; Brassicales; Brassicaceae. The record is from RNAcentral.